UACAGAGGUGUCAAACGUUGUCCGGAAUUACUGGGCGUAAAGGGCGCGUAGGCGGCCUUAUAAGUCAGAUGUGAAAGCUCCGGGCUCAACCCGGGAAUUGCAUCUGAUACUGUAAGGCUUGAGUUCGGUAGAGGAGGGCGGAAUUCCAGGUGUAGCGGUGAAAUUCGUAGAUAUCGGGAGGAACACCGGUGGCGAAGGCGGCGACCUGGGUCGAUACUGACGCUGAGGUGCGAAAGCGUGGGGAGCAAACAGG
This 253-nucleotide ribosomal RNA is filed under the name uncultured prokaryote. Its description in RNAcentral is "partial 16S ribosomal RNA". It matches the Rfam family "Bacterial small subunit ribosomal RNA", at positions 524 to 776 of the family's 1533-position model. The record is from RNAcentral.